UUCAGGUUCAGUUCAGUCUCGCUUCUCGCGUCGAUCGUUACGGAGUUCUUUUCCGCGGCGCGUUCUUUCGCCGUCCGUUCUCCGUUCAACCGGGGGACUCAUGGAGAACCGUGCGGGCCUGACAGGUGCAGUGCAGUGUCAUAAUUGAGAGGACAGAGAGAAACGUGGCCGGGAAAAACCAAGGAACGAGAAACGAGGAAUAAAGGAUGGAUGAAAGAUAUGCACUCGCGACGCGGACAACAACGACUCGAUCGAAAUAAUAGGCUUCCUUGUAGUAUGUCACUAUCACGAUACAAUACAACCGACACAUUUAUUUAUUAAACAGCACUCUAUUCUCUAACGAUUAAAUAAAGAAAAAAAAAGUUAAAAAGAGAAGUCGUACGCGCAACUUUUGACGAUCUUUCCCCGCAUGAUCGAGAUUCCGAUUGAGACGACUCUUGAAAAUUUCGAACGACUCCGAGGACACCUAUCGCGCGCGAAGAGAGUGUCAUUCAAAAAAGUCGCGGCGUUUGAAGGGUGCCGCGCGCACGCGAAGUCGCCUGUGCCAACGAUUCAGCUGAUCGAGAGAAGGGGUUUAUUGAUAAUUGCGGCUCUCACGGUGUGGUCGCUAAAGUUGUUCGAUCGGGAAGCUCAUCCGUGUUUAUAUACGAGGUAAAGACACGAAUAUCGUGAAAUUCUCAAGAGAGUGGCAAAUAUACAGAAGCGGUAGCAAAAAGUAGCAAUCCAUUUGGAAUGUCGACGUACGGAAGGUGGAUUCCGUGGCCGGCGAGGACGCGUUUUCGACACUCGAUAAAAUCGCCGGCGAUCCGUCGCAGCUGAGAGAUCAGAUGAUUGACCGGAUUGAUUGAUCGCGCUAUCUUGCAGCUUUCCUUCGGCGAUUCGACACUUUUUUCGACACGUUCGUCCUUAAAGCUGGCGAACGUGCGACGGAAAGAAGGGAAUUUCUUGCUGUUAAAACGCACCGCAAGUAAUUUUGGAAUUAUUCGCAGAAGAUUCGGAAAAGGUGCAGCAGCCAUGGACUGGAGGGGAUUCGCGCUGGCAUUUCUGGUGAUCACAAUAACGAGGCACGGCGGUAGCGGCGCACACGCAGCCCAGAUACCUCAACAGCUGCCGACGUGUGAGUAUAUUAACACCGACGUGUAACACAGACUCGCCGCGAGACUUACUUUCUAAUUGUCUCCCGGGCGACGGGUGACGGCUAAUUAGGGCGAAUCAAUUA
Long non-coding RNA from Wasmannia auropunctata (little fire ant), 1219 nucleotides. RefSeq lists it as uncharacterized. NCBI's taxonomy places the organism in Eukaryota, Metazoa, Arthropoda, Insecta, Hymenoptera, Formicidae. The transcript is spliced from 3 exons. The record is from RefSeq and is a predicted model, not a curated record.